Molecule: unclassified non-coding RNA, 341 nt
Filed under: soil metagenome
Description: partial contains 5.8S ribosomal RNA, internal transcribed spacer 2, and large subunit ribosomal RNA
Rfam family: 5.8S ribosomal RNA (bases 1-120)
Source: RNAcentral
GAUGAAGAACGCAGCGAAAUGCGAUAAGUAAUGUGAAUUGCAGAAUUCAGUGAAUCAUCGAAUCUUUGAACGCACAUUGCGCCAGCCAGCAGUCUGGCGGGCAUGCCUGUUCGAGCGUCAUUUCAACCAUCAAGCCCCCAGGGGCUUGUGCUGGGGCCCUGCGGCUGCCCGCAGGCCCUGAAAACCAGUGGCGGGCUCGCUAGUCACACCGAGCGCAGUAGCACAUCUCGCUCAGGGCGUGCGGCGGGCUCCUGCCGUGAAACCCCCCACUGUAACCCCAAAGGUUGACCUCGGAUCAGGUAGGAAUACCCGCUGAACUUAAGCAUAUCAAAAGCGGAGGA